CCUACGGGUGGCAGCAGUGGGGAAUAUUGCACAAUGGGGGAAACCCUGAUGCAGCGACGCCGCGUGAGUGAAGAAGUAUUUCGGUAUGUAAAGCUCUAUCAGCAGGGAAGAAAUAGCGACCUUUGGGUCGCCAGACGGUACCUGAUUAAGAAGCCCCGGCUAACUACGUGCCAGCAGCCGCGGUAAUACGUAGGGGGCAAGCGUUAUCCGGAUUUACUGGGUGUAAAGGGAGCGUAGACGGCAGCGCAAGUCUGAAGUGAAAUGCCGGGGCUUAACCCCGGAACUGCUUUGGAAACUGUGCAGCUAGAGUGCAGGAGAGGUAAGUGGAAUUCCGAGUGUAGCGGUGAAAUGCGUAGAUAUUAGGAGGAACACCAGUGGCGAAGGCGGCUUACUGGGCUGUAACUGACGUUGAGGCUCGAAAGCGUGGGGAGCAAACAGGAUUAGUACCGAGUAUC
This 455-nucleotide ribosomal RNA is filed under the name uncultured bacterium. RNAcentral describes it as "partial 16S ribosomal RNA". It matches the Rfam family "Bacterial small subunit ribosomal RNA", at positions 338 to 794 of the family's 1533-position model. The record is from RNAcentral.